CAGUACAGUACCAUUCUACCGCCCCCGAAUGAUAUAAACAUAAUCAUCCUGUGAUAUGCACAAUCAAGUAAUGGCAGAAGUAAAGAAUAAAAUGAGAAAUUAAAGUCAAUUGCAGUAAUGUCAACUGAAGCAAUUACUAUUUCAAUAACACUAAUUUCACUUUUCAUUAAAACCUCCUAAGAAACAAUUCUAUGAAUGUGAUAUGCACAAUCAAGUAAUGGCUUAAGCAAAGAAUAAAAUGAGAAAUUGCAGUCAAUUGAAGCAAUUAGUCAUAAUGGCAAUCAAUAUAGUGAUUUAGAGGUUCUAG
This 307-nucleotide long non-coding RNA is filed under the name Actinidia chinensis (golden kiwifruit). RNAcentral describes it as "long non-coding RNA (ACHI_LNC001324)". Lineage: Eukaryota; Viridiplantae; Streptophyta; Magnoliopsida; Ericales; Actinidiaceae. The record is from RNAcentral.